This is a long non-coding RNA of Polypterus senegalus (gray bichir), 478 nucleotides long. RefSeq lists it as uncharacterized. NCBI's taxonomy places the organism in Eukaryota, Metazoa, Chordata, Cladistia, Polypteriformes, Polypteridae. The transcript has 3 exons. The record is from RefSeq and is a predicted model, not a curated record.
GUUUUACGACACGCGUCACUCGUUAGAUUUGAAUUGUAUUUUCGAGGCAUUUUUAUAUUGCCGUUUAUCUCCGUAUGAUACUCGGUGUUUAUCAGCCUUCCAAGUGGCUAAAUAGGUGCCUGUGUACCCGAACUCUGUGACACAACUGGAUGUCAUUUUCUUCUUCUUUUAUGAUUCCCAAAUCAAGAUAAUGUGUAGUCUAGCUAUUUCUAGAGUUUAUUGCAGUGGUGCCCUGCGUCUCUGCCAUCUAUUAAGUCAAUUCCAACUGCCUAAUGCUGGGAAGAAGAAAAGUUUAUAUGAUAUCCUGAAAUGGAAUUGUGCUUGGACUGAGACAGCCACAUUUAUGUGUACGCCGGGAUUGUUAGGGAGCUGAGCAGGCUUUGUCCUGGGAUCCCCCAGAGCAUCCUUGAUGGCUGCAAAUUUGACUUUCUCCCUAGCCAUUUGACCAUGCAACAUAUUUAUUACAAAGGACCAGGAC